GUGACAGCCGCCGCGGUAAUACGAAGGGGGCUAGCGUUGUUCGGAAUUACUGGGCGUAAAGCGCGCGCAGGCGGUUUUUCAAGUCAGUGGUGAAAGCCCGGAGCUCAACUCCGGAAUUGCCAUUGAGACUGUGAAACUUGAGGACGAGAGAGGUGAGUGGAAUUCCCAGUGUAGAGGUGAAAUUCGUAGAUAUUGAGAAGAACACCAGUGGCGAAGGCGGCUCACUGGCUCGUUUCUGACGCUCAGGCGCGACAGCGUGGGGAUCAAACAGGAUUAGAAACCCGUGUAGUCC
Molecule: ribosomal RNA, 292 nt
Filed under: uncultured bacterium
Lineage: Bacteria
Description: partial 16S ribosomal RNA
Rfam family: Bacterial small subunit ribosomal RNA
Source: RNAcentral